CCUACGGGAGGCAGCAGUGGGGAAUAUUGGACAAUGGGCGAAAGCCUGAUCCAGCAAUGCCGCGUGAGUGAUGAAGGCCUUAGGGUUGUAAAGCUCUUUUACCCGGGAUGAUAAUGACAGUACCGGGAGAAUAAGCUCCGGCUAACUCCGUGCCAGCAGCCGCGGUAAUACGGAGGGAGCUAGCGUUGUUCGGAAUUACUGGGCGUAAAGCGCACGUAGGCGGCUUUGUAAGUUAGAGGUGAAAGCCUGGAGCUCAACUCCAGAAUUGCCUUUAAGACUGCAUCGCUUGAAUCCAGGAGAGGUGAGUGGAAUUCCGAGUGUAGAGGUGAAAUUCGUAGAUAUUCGGAAGAACACCAGUGGCGAAGGCGGCUCACUGGACUGGUAUUGACGCUGAGGUGCGAAAGCGUGGGGAGCAAACAGGAUUAGGAUACCCUGGUAGUCCACGCCGUAAACGAUGAUAACUAGCUGUCAGGCGUCUAGUAGUCGUUGGUUGGUCGCAGACUACGCAUAAGUUAUCCGUCCGUGGGAGUACGGUCGCGAGAUAACGUACAAGAGAGUAGACGCGUGAGACGUGCGACGACGACGACGAGGGAGAGG
RNAcentral lists this ribosomal RNA (597 nucleotides) under uncultured bacterium. Its description in RNAcentral is "bacterial SSU rRNA". The stretch from base 1 to 521 matches the Rfam family "Bacterial small subunit ribosomal RNA", at positions 338 to 873 of the family's 1533-position model. The record is from RNAcentral.